UGGGACUCUGGAAGAGGAGGAGAGAAAAGAUGAUUAGUUAUUUAUGAAGAAAGGCUUUUGAUAACAGCCUGAACAGAUUAGAUUAGAAGCAUGGGAAACACUGGACCUCUCAUUUUUCUUUAGGGAAAAGCUUGAAGAGGAGUCACAGAUCUGAUUUCAACUGUGCCACAAGACGUACAAGGCAGUUCCAAGUCAUUGCAAUCACAACUAGAAAUUACACAGAUGGCUGCUGUAACAUACAGACCUACAGCGCAUGUAACAUGAUGUGUACAUAACACGGUACGUAAAACUGCCCACACACUUCCCACAUCCCUCCUAGAACAACCCAGCAUAAGAGGAAGCACCCACCUGAAGACAGAAAGACGAUGAGAUGUCCCAGUGCAGAGCUGGACCUCACAAAAUACUCUAAUGAUUAAUAAACCAAGUAUUCUGACCAUGAAUAAAGCCAAACUUAAUCCUGUCCAAACCCACCACUGCCUUCUAUAGUCAGGCAAAGUUACCAGUUUUAGAGAGUGUGUUCUAACAGCUACGGGUCAAUGGAGAUGAAACCUUGAGCACGCAGUAGAUUUGGACCCAAAAGUGUGCAUUUGAAUUAGAUGAAAACUUCAGUGUGUGGGUGCUCUGGCUGAGUGACUCCAGUAACUGGGCAGGAAUUCUUGUGAAGAUCAAUGCCCUGUGCUGAGUGUCCAAGGCAGCCCCCAGAAAACCACACUGCAGUACACACAAAACAUGGAUGAUGAUGAUGAUGAUAAUGAAAUGUAAGCUGGGAAAAAUGACACUGUCUUUAUUAUUACAGUUCUGAUGAAUGUAUGGGAAAAGCAAAUAAAGCAAAAUUCAAAAUACAGACAAACAUGCAUGUCCAUACACACAUGCCCACUAUGCAGGCAUGAGCUACAACCACUAUAUGGUUAUAGCUAUAUUGUUAUACCUCAGUGAUCACUGUUAGCAGUGUCAUCACCUGGGAUGUAUGUAGGAACCCCUAGGAGGUUGUCCUGUGCAGUAAGGCACAACUGAGCAUGGCAGAUUCACGGCAAAGGUGCCAACAGGAACCACUGAUGCUCCCAGCUGUAUGGGGAGAAGCAGCAGCAUCCAGGUUUGACUACUGUCAGGGGUGAUGGAUCCACAAAUCCUUCAACAGAGCCAAAUGCAGCACUUCAUAGCUCUUGACUGUAUGAUUGCUGGAUCACCAACAUCAGCUGAAGGAGAGCGCUGGUUAGGUGAUGUGAUUCUCCUGGCAGGAUUAAACUGUUGAGAGUUUAAUGCAAGGAAAACCUAAUCAGCCCGUACACAGCAUUCAGCCACUAACAAGCAAAGGGAGGACUGAUCUGCUCAGUGUUUUAUGCUUUUGCUCUCCACUUAACAUUUCAUCAGUUUGUUUUUAAAGCAAUUUCUGCUGUUCACUUAGGUACAUUAACGAGGUGGUAUUUGUACAUGAGGAUGUGGCACAGAAUCGCUAUGAACAAUGGACGAGCUAUUCCACACGCAAAAGUGAUGAGAUCAAAACUACUUCUGGGCAGGAGAUACAAAAUAGCCGUGCUCUUGCUCAGGAUGCUGUUCUCACCAAAAACAAGAGCCAGAAAACUGAGUCUACUGAAUCUCCACAUCUGACAACCUGGACAAAGACCAGAACUUCUGUGCAGAUCAGGAAAGAAAUGUGUGAAAUAAUGUAUCCAGGUUUCCAGCACUGAAGAAUAGAAAAAUGCUGGGGAGGGAGGAGUCACGAUUUCCACCAUUUCCCUCUGCUACCACCCACUUCCAUGACACCAAACAAGGAAAGCAAGAAUACUGGUAACAGUAUGGAAAAGAUCUGAUUUACCUCUUCAGUGUCAAGCUAUUAUUGUAAAGGACAUUUUGUUAAAAAUCUCACAGAAUCCAUUGAGGAAUGCAGACGGCCAUCAGCUGCCAAUGUUAAUGUACUACUCAGCUGAACAGCGUUCAGGAUUUUACUGACACUGAUGAACAGCAGCAGAGUACUAUCGUAAUGAUAGAAGGGAAGUGGCUGAGAGGUAAAAAUGAAAGAGCUCAGGGCAAAAUCAGAAACCUGAGCAAUUGUGGGAAGGACAUCAGAGUCAGGCUGAGCAUAACCUCGGUGAAUGAUAAAUUCAGUUUCAAUGACCUUCCCAAUGUACGCUUAAGUUAGCUGGUUCUGAAGCAGAGGUUAGGCUUAUUUGAAAUGACACAAGAAGAAACAUGCAAGAGGAAGAACUGUAAGUCUGGUAUAGAAUCUGCCUCCUUCUCUAGAACAAAAGCUGGAGUUUUUUUUCUACACUGGCUACAGUAAAUAGUACUACUAAAACCAGGUAGCUUUUACUGGUAGUAAAGAAGGAAACUGAGAGGCAGUGUGUAAAACGUAACAUACAUUAUGGGAAAAUGAUGACACAGAUGUGACUUGUGAAAGAGCACAUUCUAUUGAUAUGAAAGUGUUUAUUGCCUUUGUGCUUUUGAUUCACCUUUACCUUCUUUCUGGAGAAAAAACAUGCGGAAAUAGUACGGAAAAAUGAGUGACGAUGUCAGAACUUGUUUAUGAAUCAGAGCUGUGUGUCUUUUCAAUGAACAGCUUUCAUCCAGCUGUAUUGAGAUGUAAUAAAGAUGGAAAUAACAAGUUUUGAGAAGGACGACAGAUCAAUAAAAAUCCAUAGAUUACCAGAAUUUGCUGGUUUCACUGACAACUUUUCUCCACUAAGAACCACUACAGAAAUGCUCCUGUAAAUAACGAAAUCCUGCUGACUGAAAGUGAAUAAGUGUCACAGGCUGGCUUUCUUGUGACUAAUUUCUUCUGCUGCAAAGAUUUUUCACUGGUCAUUUUCCUGCUAACCCAUACAGUAACCUUCCCAUCCUUCUUGGUUUGGGUUAUUUUGGGGUGGGUUUUCUGUUGGUUUGUUUGCUUUGCAUUUUUAUGGUUUUAAGUGGAGAAACGUAACCAGAAAGUGAUCUCGGAACUGAUCAUAAUGUGAUCCUUUUGUCUUGGCUUCCAGCCACGUGGAGUUAGAAUCUUGACCUAUGGUGCCUGAUUAACAAGCAAAGAGCCUCUGGAGCCUUGACCUGCUGGUGAACUAUCUGGGUACUACUGGAGUAAAAGCUGACAAAAAUACAUUAGGUGAGUGACUUCAGUUUCAGUUUCUCUGCAGUGCAGUGACUCACAGGACUUCUGAAGUACACGGGUGCAAUCCGUAAUCUUUGGGUGCGAGAACUGUUUCCAAUAACACAAAUAGCUAUUGGUAGAUUGAAAUGUAUUGCUUUGGGUUGAGUUGUUACACAUGAAACAAACCUGACAGCCCAAGAUCAAUAACUCAACUGAACAUACAGAUAAAUGCACUUUUUCAUCUCUGUCUUUCCAGUAUCUUGCACCAGUUUUGUACUACAUUUGUGAAGACCAUACAGUAUGCACAGUGUGUGUGUCUACUCAUGCACACAAGUGUCAACUAACAAUAUGCAACCAGCUCCUAUGACUGUAGUAGAGUUUCUAUUUCUACACAACAUUUUGUAAUACCAUGCAAA
Molecule: long non-coding RNA, 3498 nt
Organism: Pezoporus occidentalis (night parrot)
Lineage: Eukaryota; Metazoa; Chordata; Aves; Psittaciformes; Psittacidae
Exons: 4
Source: RefSeq, a predicted model, not a curated record